Cicer arietinum (chickpea) is the source of this 506-nucleotide long non-coding RNA. RefSeq lists it as uncharacterized. The record is from RefSeq and is a predicted model, not a curated record. Lineage: Eukaryota; Viridiplantae; Streptophyta; Magnoliopsida; Fabales; Fabaceae.
AACUAGUUCCUAGUCCUUUGACUAAUUGUUUUAUAUAUAUAUAUAUGAUCACUACCAACAUGAUCUACUCAUUCCAUCUUUGCAAUGGCAACCAAUUCUCUGAAGUUUACUUUGGUGACCAUUUUCAUCUUUGCAAUGGCUCUCUCUCUCACUUUACCAUCAUGUGAUGCUGCACGUGUUCCAUUAGUAGAUUUUGUUGUGCAGUUAAUAAUAGGCCUAUAUGUCCUGCUUGCUUGUGUUGCACUCCACCACCCCCUGGCUCUUGCUGCACAAAGUGUUGUGCUUCGGUACCAGUUUCAUAAUAGGGAAAUCAAAUGUCCAUUUACAUAUAACAUCACAUAUAGUUAUUAAUGAUAUGUUUGUAAUUUUAUAUGUUUAACAAAUCAUUAUCAUGAUGUUAUCAUAUAUUGUAUGUUACCAUCAUCAAGGACUGAAUGCCAUGUAUGAUAUUGGAUCUUAAAAGUUAUAAAUCAGUUAACAGGACAUUAAAUUAUUUACCUAUUAAA